This 427-nucleotide ribosomal RNA is filed under the name uncultured bacterium. RNAcentral's name for it is "partial 16S ribosomal RNA". It matches the Rfam family "Bacterial small subunit ribosomal RNA", at positions 354 to 796 of the family's 1533-position model. The record is from RNAcentral.
GUGAGGAAUCUUCCACAAUGGGCGAAAGCCUGAUGGAGCAACGCCGCGUGCAGGAUGAAGGCCUUCGGGUUGUAAACUGCUUUUAUUAGUGAGGAAUAUGACGGUAACUAAUGAAUAAGGAUCGGCUAACUACGUGCCAGCAGCCGCGGUCAUACGUAGGAUCCGAGCGUUAUCCGGAGUGACUGGGCGUAAAGAGUUGCGUAGGUGGUAAGUAAAGCGAAUAGUGAAAUCUGGUGGCUCAACCAUUCAGGCUAUUAUUCGAACUCACUUACUCGAGAGUGGUAGAGGUAACUGGAAUUUCUUGUGUAGGAGUGAAAUCCGUAGAUAUAAGAAGGAACACCAAUGGCGUAGGCAGGUUACUGGACCAUUUCUGACACUGAGGCACGAAAGCGUGGGGAGCGAACCGUAUUAGAUACCCGUGUAGUCC